RNAcentral lists this unclassified non-coding RNA (328 nucleotides) under Ascomycota sp. Its description in RNAcentral is "partial contains small subunit ribosomal RNA, internal transcribed spacer 1, and 5.8S ribosomal RNA". The stretch from base 1 to 47 matches the Rfam family "Eukaryotic small subunit ribosomal RNA", at positions 1785 to 1831 of the family's 1831-position model. The record is from RNAcentral. Lineage: Eukaryota; Fungi; Ascomycota.
AAAGUCGUAACAAGGUCUCCGUAGGUGAACCUGCGGAGGGAUCAUUAUAGGAAGAUAAAAACUUCAACAGGUUGUAGGGGGUGUGUGGGGAGAGGGUGCAUACUCUGCACUUUUUCCUCUCACUCUCUCUGCAACUUCAACCAAACGAUCGCAACUACAAUUUAUGUAUAUUGCCUUGCAUAUCUUUCUCUCUCUCUCUCAGAGAGGCAUUGAUUGCUUGGCUUGGGGGGGGGAUAUAACAAGUGUUUGCCUGAUAUUUCACAAGGCCAUUGCGGCCGAGGGGAAAAUAAUAUAAACAAAACUUUCAACAACGGAUCUCUUGGCUCUC